Molecule: ribosomal RNA, 779 nt
Filed under: uncultured Gammaproteobacteria bacterium
Lineage: Bacteria; Pseudomonadati; Pseudomonadota; Gammaproteobacteria
Description: partial 16S ribosomal RNA
Rfam family: Bacterial small subunit ribosomal RNA
Source: RNAcentral
AGUCGAGCGGAACGAUGGGAGCUUGCUCCCAGCGUCGAGCGGCGGACGGGUGAGUAACGCGUAGGAAUCUACCCAGUAGUGGGGGAUAGCCCGGGGAAACUCGGAUUAAUACCGCAUACGCCCUACGGGGGAAAGGCCGGGAUCUUCGGACCGGUCGCUAUUGGAUGAGCCUGCGUUGGAUUACCUAGUUGGUAGGGUAAAGGCCUACCAAGGCGACCAUCCAUAGCUGGUCUGAGAGGAUGAUCAUCCACACUGGAACUGAGACACGGUCCACACUCCUACGGGAGGCAGCAGUGGGGAAUAUUGGACAAUGGGCGCAAGCCUGAUCCAGCCAUGCCGCGUGUGUGAAGAAGGAUCUAGGGUUGUAAAGCACUUUCAGUAGGGAGGAAGGCCACAGUGUUAAUAGCGCUUUGGAUUGACGUUGCCUACAGAAGCAGCACCGGCUAACUCCGUGCCAGCCCCCGCGGUAAUACAGAGGGUGCAAGCGUUAUCCGGAAUUAUUGGGCGUAAAGCGCGCGGAAGCGGUUUGUUAAAUGUGAUGUGAAAGCCCAAGGCUCAACCUUGGAACUGCGUCACAUACUGGCAAGCUAGAGAACAGAACAGGGGGGGAGAAUUCCCUGUGUAGCGGGGAAAUGCGUACAGAUGUGGAAGAAAUACCAUGGGAAAAGGGGCCCCCCCCUUUGAUACUGACCCUAAAGUGCGAAAACCUGGGGGAGCAAAAAAGAUAAAAAACCCCGGGUAGUCCCCCCCGUAAAAAAUGUCAACCACCCCUGGGAAGG